AAUGAACGUUGGCGGCGUGGAUUAGGCAUGCAAGUCGAGCGAGAACCCGCAAGGGGGACAGCGGCGAACGGGGUAGGAAUACGUAGGUAACGUACCCUCGGGGCGAGGACAGCCACGGGAAACUGUGGGUAAUACUCGAUAAACUUCCCAAUCAUUAUGGAAGGGAAGCAAUGGGUGUGAUUCCACCUGAGGAGCGGCUUACGCAGUAUCAGCUAGUUGGUGAGGUAACGGCUCACCAAGGCUACGACGCUUAGGGGGUGUGAGAGCAUGGCCCCCACCACUGGCACUGAGACACUGGCCAGACACCUACGGGUGGCUGCAGUCGAGAAUCUUCGGCAAUGGACGCAAGUCUGACCGAGCGACGCCGCGUGUGGGAUGAAGGCCUUCGGUUGUAAACCACUGUCAGAGGGGAUGAAGUGUACGAGAGUUAUCUCUUGUAUUUGACAGAGCCUCAGAGGAAGCAC
RNAcentral lists this ribosomal RNA (464 nucleotides) under uncultured bacterium. RNAcentral describes it as "bacterial SSU rRNA". It matches the Rfam family "Bacterial small subunit ribosomal RNA", at positions 29 to 493 of the family's 1533-position model. The record is from RNAcentral.